GGGUGCCCGCGUCCCGGCCCGGAAGAGAGGCGGGACGACGGCGCGUCCUCUCCCCGCAAGAUUACCUCGCAGCGCGUAGCCGGCUUUGUGUUUCCCCUCCCUCCUUCUCGGCAGCCGCCCGGGCUGCAGCAGCCGCCGGAUCCGCCGCUGCGGCCGCCUCUUAAGCGCCGCAGAGCCCCAGAGGGUGUGGAUUCUGCAAUGCUGCACAGAAACCUACUGCAGCCUCAGACCAACAGCAGCAGCAGCAGCGGCGGCGGCGGCAGCAGCAGCAGCAGCAUUAGCAGCAGCAGCUUCUCUCAAUGCUGAGUAUUGAAUACAGAUAAUCAUGAGGCCCAAGACCCUAAGGAACAGUGCAGCCAGGAGUCGGAAGGAGCCUGGGUUUCUGAAUCAUCACAUGGAGGGGAGCUGUCUUCAGCUGGGAGAGCUGUCUUCAGUUGGAUACUGGGAGGAAGAAAGGGAGCUGGUUAGGAAGCAAACUUGAGUUUCCCAUGCUCUGUGGCUGAGCAAGUCACUUCACCAUUCUCAGGAUGGAAGUGGGGAUGGAGGUGGCAUCGGCCUCAUUUGAACCACAUGGACUAAGAGGGGCUAUGGGAGUAUUCCCCAAAGGAAGACUGAGGGGCGUUACUAGAAAAUGGGAGAAUGGAAGCAGAGUGGGCAAAACCAACAGAUGUUCCCUAUAGUAAAUAAAAAAUUUGGACAAUUAUUAGUGAGCAAGUACUUAUAACAUAUAUGGCACAUGGGAUUGUGACUCACCAGUGUGUUAGCACAAUAUGGUCAAAAACCUCUGAUCCAAUUCAACCUACUCAUCUUAACGAUUUUAUCAGCAUUUAAUAAGUUUGUUUUGGCCAUCAUGUGUUAUAGUUUUGUUUGUGGUUUUGACACCUCAUUAGAGGUUUCAUCAGUGUAAGGAGCCAACCUAAGAGCUCUUCUCACAAGUUUCCCAAGAGAGAAAUUGCCCCUCCAAAUGUGAGGAGUCUCACUUUAUAUAGAUAGCAUCCACACUUCUUGCAGUGGAAAACAAACCUUAUAAAAUGUAAUACGUUUGGUUUCCUAACUUUUUCAUGACCCUGGGGUGGUAGAAGGAAGUGCAAGUUUUAUCACUUGGAUUUAGAGACAAGGAAAUUGAAAUGGAGAGAGAAUUGGGCUCACAUGCAGGCAGCAUGUCUAGCUGCCUCCAUCGUGUGAUCUGAGGCACCCCAUGAGGCCUAUGAUUACUGUAAACCUCUAAAAUAAAUAAAAAAUAAAACAAU
RNAcentral lists this long non-coding RNA (1250 nucleotides) under Homo sapiens (human). Its description in RNAcentral is "HSALNT0359955". The record is from RNAcentral. Lineage: Eukaryota; Metazoa; Chordata; Mammalia; Primates; Hominidae.